This is a small nucleolar RNA of 71 nucleotides. Its record names the gene SNORD34. It matches the Rfam family "Small nucleolar RNA SNORD34". Rfam says of the family: snoRNA U34 is found in intron 5 of the ribosomal protein L13a gene in humans. U34 is a member of the C/D class of snoRNA which contain C (UGAUGA) and D (CUGA) box motifs, and functions in directing site-specific 2'-O-methylation of 25S rRNAs. The record is from Ensembl.
UGGCGUCAGUGAUGUUCUGCAAUUACCUACAUUGUUUGAUCCCUGUGAAAAGAGCACCUGCUGAGACGCCU